RNAcentral lists this transfer-messenger RNA (358 nucleotides) under Clostridia bacterium. It matches the Rfam family "transfer-messenger RNA". Rfam says of the family: Bacterial tmRNA, also known as 10Sa RNA or SsrA, is named for its dual tRNA and mRNA-like properties. The record is from RNAcentral. Lineage: Bacteria; Bacillati; Bacillota; Clostridia.
GGGGGCGAAAAUGGUUUCGACGGGGAUCAUGGAGGCCGGAUAAGCGAGCCGAAGACCCGUGCUUCGCUAAAAACGGGAAACUUAAAAAGUAAUCGACAAAGAUUAUUCUUACGCUGUCGCUGCGUAAAUAACGCGCGACCGUCCGCCUGCGAAGACCUAUCGUUGCAGUAACGGGCGUCAUUCAGGAUAGGGUACCAGCCCGCGUAAGCUUUGCCGCGGGUGGGAUUUAUGAAGCUACCGGACCGCCGAUCCUGUCGUUGGGAGCCUCGGGAAGGGAAUUUCAAUACAGCGACUACGCUCGUAGAAAGUCUUGUUGACAGGUUUUCGGACGGGGGUUCGACUCCCCCCGCCUCCACCA